GGGGAAUUUUCCGCAAUGGGCGACCNNCUGACGGAGCAAUACCGCGUGAGGGAUGACGGCCUAUGGGUUGUAAACCUCUUUUUUCAGGGAGGAAUCAAUGACGUGUACCUGAAGAAUAAGCAUCGGCUAACUCCGUGCCAGCAGCCGCGGUAAGACGGAGGAUGCAAGUGUUAUCCGGAAUCACUGGGCGUAAAGCGUCUGUAGGUGGUCCAAUAAGUCAACUGUUAAAUCUUGAGGCUCAACCUCAAAAUCGCAGUCGAAACUAUUAGACUCGAGUAUAGUAGGGGUAAAGGGAAUUUCCAGUGGAGCGGUGAAAUGCGUAGAGAUUGGAAAGAACACCGAUGGCGAAGGCACUUUACUGGGCUAUUACUAACACUGAGAGACGAAAGCUAGGGUAGCAAAUGGGAUUAGAUACCCCAGUAGUC
Molecule: ribosomal RNA, 425 nt
Filed under: uncultured cyanobacterium
Lineage: Bacteria; Bacillati; Cyanobacteriota
Description: bacterial SSU rRNA
Rfam family: Bacterial small subunit ribosomal RNA
Source: RNAcentral